RNAcentral lists this ribosomal RNA (484 nucleotides) under uncultured bacterium. Its description in RNAcentral is "partial 16S ribosomal RNA". It matches the Rfam family "Bacterial small subunit ribosomal RNA", at positions 29 to 507 of the family's 1533-position model. The record is from RNAcentral.
AUUGAACGCUGGCGGCAUGCUUUACACAUGCAAGUCGAACGGCAGCGCGGGCCUCGGCCUGGCGGCGAGUGGCGAACGGGUGAGUAAUACAUCGGAACGUGCCCAGCAGGGGAGGAUAGCUCGGCGAAAGCCGGAUUAAUACCGCAUACGACCUGAGGGUGAAAGCGGGGGAUCUUCGGACCUCGCGCUAUUGGAGCGGCCGAUGGCCGAUUAGCUAGUUGGUGGGGUAAAGGCCUACCAAGGCGACGAUCUGUAGCUGGUCUGACAGGACGACCGGCCACACUGGGACUGAGACACGGCCCAGACUCCUACGGGAGGCAGCAGUGGGGAAUUUUGGACAAUGGGCGAAAGCCUGAUCCAGCAAUGCCGCGUGUGUGAUGAAGGCCUUCGGGUUGUAAAGCACUUUUGGCGGGAACGAAAAGGACUGUGCCAAUACCACGGUUCGAUGACGGUACCCGCAGAAUAAGCACCGGCUAACUACGUG